This 500-nucleotide ribosomal RNA is filed under the name uncultured bacterium. Its description in RNAcentral is "partial 16S ribosomal RNA". It matches the Rfam family "Bacterial small subunit ribosomal RNA", at positions 30 to 523 of the family's 1533-position model. The record is from RNAcentral.
AUUGAUCGCUGGCGGCAUGCCUUACACAUGCAAGUCGAACGGCAGCACGGGAGCAAUCCUGGUGGCGAGUGGCGAACGGGUGAGUAAAGUAUCGGAACGUGCCCAGUCGUGGGGGAUAACGUAGCGAAAGUUACGCUAAUACCGCAUACGAUCUAUGGAUGAAAGCGGGGGAUCGCAAGACCUCGCGCGAUUGGAGCGGCCGAUAUCAGAUUAGGUAGUUGGUGGGGUAAAGGCUCACCAAGCCGACGAUCUGUAGCUGGUCUGAGGGGACGAACAGCCACACUGGGACUGGGACACGGCCGAGACUGCUACGGGAGGCAGCAGUGGGGAAUUUUGGACAAUGGGCGAAAGCCUGAUCCAGCCAUGCCGCGUGCAGGAUGAAGGCCUUCGGGUUGUAAACUGCUUUUGUACGGAACGAAAAGGUUUGGCCUAAUAAGCUAAGCUCAUGACGGUACCGUAAGAAUAAGCACCGGCUAACUACGUGCCAGCCGCCGCAGUAA